AACGAACGCUGGCGGCAUGCCUAACACAUGCAAGUCGAACGAGACCUCCGGGUCUAGUGGCGCACGGGUGCGUAACGAGUGGGAACUUGCACUUAGGUUCGGAAUAACUCCCCGAAAGGGGUGCUAAUACAGGAUAAUGUCUUAGGACCAAAGAUUUAUCGCCUUGGGCUGGGCGCGCGUUGGAUUAGCUAGUUGGUAGGGUAAUAGCCUACCAAGGCGACGUUCCAUAGCUGGUCUGAGAGGAUGAUCAGCCACACUUGGGCUGCGGCACGGCCCAGACUCCUACGGAAGGGAGCAGUGGGGAAUAUAGGAGGAUGGAGGAAAGCGUGAUCCAGCAAUGCCGCGUAAGUGAUGAAGGGGUUAGUGUUGUAAUUCUCUUUUACCCGGGAUGUUAAUGACGGUACCGGGUGAAUAAGCACCGGCUAACUCCGUG
This 433-nucleotide ribosomal RNA is filed under the name uncultured bacterium. RNAcentral's name for it is "partial 16S ribosomal RNA". It matches the Rfam family "Bacterial small subunit ribosomal RNA", at positions 29 to 507 of the family's 1533-position model. The record is from RNAcentral.